Molecule: ribosomal RNA, 659 nt
Filed under: Escherichia coli
Lineage: Bacteria; Pseudomonadati; Pseudomonadota; Gammaproteobacteria; Enterobacterales; Enterobacteriaceae
Description: partial 23S ribosomal RNA
Rfam family: Bacterial large subunit ribosomal RNA
Source: RNAcentral
AUAAUGGGUCAGCGACUUAUAUUCUGUAGCAAGGUUAACCGAAUAGGGGAGCCGAAGGGAAACCGAGUCUUAACUGGGCGUUAAGUUGCAGGGUAUAGACCCGAAACCCGGUGAUCUAGCCAUGGGCAGGUUGAAGGUUGGGUAACACUAACUGGAGGACCGAACCGACUAAUGUUGAAAAAUUAGCGGAUGACUUGUGGCUGGGGGUGAAAGGCCAAUCAAACCGGGAGAUAGCUGGUUCUCCCCGAAAGCUAUUUAGGUAGCGCCUCGUGAAUUCAUCUCCGGGGGUAGAGCACUGUUUCGGCAAGGGGGUCAUCCCGACUUACCAACCCGAUGCAAACUGCGAAUACCGGAGAAUGUUAUCACGGGAGACACACGGCGGGUGCUAACGUCCGUCGUGAAGAGGGAAACAACCCAGACCGCCAGCUAAGGUCCCAAAGUCAUGGUUAAGUGGGAAACGAUGUGGGAAGGCCCAGACAGCCAGGAUGUUGGCUUAGAAGCAGCCAUCAUUUAAAGAAAGCGUAAUAGCUCACUGGUCGAGUCGGCCUGCGCGGAAGAUGUAACGGGGCUAAACCAUGCACCGAAGCUGCGGCAGCGACGCUGAUGCGUUGUUGGGUAGGGGAGCGUUCUGUAAGCCUGCGAAGGUGUGCUGUGAGGCA